Molecule: ribosomal RNA, 505 nt
Filed under: uncultured bacterium
Lineage: Bacteria
Description: partial 16S ribosomal RNA
Rfam family: Bacterial small subunit ribosomal RNA
Source: RNAcentral
GACGAACGCUGGCGGCGUGCCUAAUACAUGCAAGUAGAACGCACAGUUUAUACCGUAGCUUGCUACACCAUAGACUGUGAGUUGCGAACGGGUGAGUAACGCGUAGGUAACCUGCCUGGUAGCGGGGGAUAACUAUUGGAAACGAUAGCUAAUACCGCAUAAUAUUCAUUAUUGCAUGAUAAUUGAUUGAAAGGUUCAAUUGCACCACUACCAGAUGGACCUGCGUUGUAUUAGCUAGUAGGUGAGGUAACGGCUCACCUAGGCGACGAUACAUAGCCGACCUGAGAGGGUGGACGGGCAACAUGGGAAUGAGGACCCGCCCAGACUUCCAACGGAGGCAGGCGUAGGGAAUCUUUGGCAAAGGACGAAAGUCUGAACGAGCAACGGCGGGUGAGUGGAGGAGGUUUUCGGAUCGUAAAGACCUGUUGUAAGGGAAGAACGGGUGUGAGAGUGGAAAGUUCACACUGUGACGGUAUCUUACCAGAAAGGGACGGCUAACUACGUG